This 359-nucleotide long non-coding RNA is filed under the name Junco hyemalis (dark-eyed junco). RNAcentral's name for it is "lncRNA (ENSJHYG00000006133.1)". The record is from RNAcentral. Lineage: Eukaryota; Metazoa; Chordata; Aves; Passeriformes; Passerellidae.
UCCAAGUGUACCAGGGCUUGAGUCCCUAGCUGCUAGGAUCCAGGCUCCUCCUGAGUAAACCAAGCAAUGUCACUUUUUGCCAGCUAAGAAAUUGGUCAAAAAGGAGAUUGCUUUAGCUGAAAGAGAAGAGCUUAAAAUACAAGCAGACCAGAAUGGGAAAAAAAGUUUGGUGGAAACUGUGGAUGCUGAUUCAAUGAAAACACUAAGAAUGGAUGGAUAGAAAUGCUGUCUCAAUUUAGAAAAGCAACUACACAUCAUGAUAUUCUGUGAACCACUGGCUCAUCUAUUUGUUUGAUUUUUUUUUCUUAUUAUUUACUGUAAGUUAUGUGAACAUAAAUAAACCCCACUGUUCAUAGCCA